Molecule: ribosomal RNA, 866 nt
Filed under: uncultured Methanosaeta sp.
Lineage: Archaea; Methanobacteriati; Methanobacteriota; Methanomicrobia; Methanotrichales; Methanotrichaceae
Description: bacterial SSU rRNA
Rfam family: Archaeal small subunit ribosomal RNA
Source: RNAcentral
UUCCGGUUGAUCCUGCCAGAGGUUACUGCUAUCGAGGUUCGACUAAGCCAUGCGAGUCGAAUGUAGCAAUACAUGGCGUACUGCUCAGUAACACGUGGACAACCUGCCCUUAGGUUGGGUAUAAACCCGGGAAACUGGGCAUAAUCCCCUAUAAGUCUCGGCUGCUGGAAUGCACCGAGAUUAAAAGCUCCGGCGCCUAAGGAUGGGUCUGCGGCCUAUCAGGUAGUAGUGUGUGUAGCGUACCUACUAGCCUACGACGGGUACGGGUUGUGAGAGCAAGAGCCCGGAGAUGGAUUCUGAGACACGAAUCCAGGCCCUACGGGGUGCAGCAGGCGCGAAAACUUUACAAUGCUGGCAAGAGCGAUAAGGGAACCUCGAGUGCCAGGUUACAAAUCUGGCUGUCGAGAUGCCUAAAAAGCAUUUCAUAGCAAGGGCCGGGCAAGACCGGUGCCAGCCGCCGCGGUAACACCGGCGGCUCGAGUGGUAACCGUUAUUAUUGGGUCUACAGGGUCUGUAGCCGGCCGGAUAAGUCUCUUGAGAAAUCUGGCAGCUCAACUGUCAGGCUUUCAGGAGAUACUGUCUGGCUCGAGGCCGGGAGAGGUGAGAGGUACUUCAGGGGUAGGGGUGAAAUCUUGUAAUCCUUGAAGGACCACCAGUGGCGAAGGCGUCUCACCAGAACGGACCUGACGGCAAGGGACGAAAGCUAGGGGCACGAACCGGAUGAGAUACCCGGGUAGUCCUAGCCGUAAACGAUACUCGCUAGGUGUCGGCCACGGUGCGACCGUUGUCGGUGCCGUAGGGAAGCCGUGAAGCGAGCCACCUGGGAAGUACGGCCGCAAGGCUGAAACUUAAAGGAAUUGGCGGGA